GGCACCAGUGAGAGAUGGAUGACAGGAGGAGCAGUGACAGGGUAUUUCAUCCCCACUCAUUGUUUUGAAAUCACAUCUCUGGCAGUAACUAUGUCCACCCACUAAGACAGCUGCAUUCCCUGCAGUCCCAGGGCUCACUGGGUUCCAGUACACUAUUUCCUCUGCUCAGCCCGAGUCCUAGGUGACUUAACGGCUGCCUGCUUUCAGUCCCUGGAUAGAGCACCCCACCAUCCUCUGUUUGAUUCCAACCCAUGUCCCUAUAACUCCUUUUAUUAAAGUCUUAUCUGAACCAUCCAGAAUGAAUUCCGUUUCCUGCUGGGACCCUGAUUGAUAUAGCAAUACAGGAGGUCAACAACCUGCCUGGGAGUUUUGAAGCAGGACAGGAAUCCAGACUCAACAUGCCAUCAUGGCUCAGAGGAAGCCAAAUGCAGGAUUACAUGAUAGGCCAGAAGCUGGGUCAUGGUCUACCAGGCCAGAUAAGCCACUCCAGGGAAAGCAGCUGCUGUGUCGCCAGCACAUUCAGCAGCCUGUAGAGAGGCACCUGUGGCGGGAAGGGAGGCCUCUGGACAUCAGCCAGCGAGGGACCGAGGCCUGCCAACAACCACAUGAGCGAGCUUGGAAAUGGAUUAUCCAGCCCCAGUCAAGCCUUGAUGGGACUGCAGCUGCUGCCAACAGCUUGACUGCUACCUUGUGAGAGACAGCGAGCCAGGGCCGCCCAGCUAAGCUGCUCCCCAUUUUCUGCCCCUCAGAAACCGUGAGAGAUAAUAAGUGUUUGUUGUUUCAAGCUGUUAAAUUUGGGGGUAAUUUGUUACACAGCAAUAGAUAACUAAAACAACUUUGUACUACUAAACAUUAAAAAUUAUCUAGGAAAUUACGUUUCCAUCUUUGUCCAAGCUGCUAAGAAGUACAAACUGAAUACGAUUCUUGAUUUCACUUGCCUGAAAUUGUUGGUUUUUCCUCUUCCCCAUUCCCUUUAUUUUUUUAUUCUCAUACUUCAUUUUCUAUCUACUGACUUUGGUUUUAUCCUAUUUACACAUUUAUUGCAAAGCUCUUAGAGACUUUUUUUUUAAAUCAGAUGAGAGACAAAACAACAAAGUAAAGACAGUAAACAUCAGACAGGAUUCCAGCCACCAUCAGAGAGAUGAAAAAUCUCAGAGAGAAAAAAGAGCAAUACAGCACAGCCCGUUACUAGUGUUCAACUAACUAGCAAUUGCUCUUAGAAUUCAAAGAAAUGAUACACCAGAAAAAAUGUGUUUUUGGUCAAUUUCCCCUGAAGCAGACCUUGAGAUAGGAUUUGCAUUAUGAAAGUGCUCUUAAAAUAAACUGCUAAGGGAAUGGGGAAAGCCAGAACAGA
This is a long non-coding RNA of Sapajus apella (tufted capuchin), 1354 nucleotides long. RefSeq lists it as uncharacterized. The transcript is spliced from 3 exons. The record is from RefSeq and is a predicted model, not a curated record. NCBI's taxonomy places the organism in Eukaryota, Metazoa, Chordata, Mammalia, Primates, Cebidae.